Gadus morhua (Atlantic cod) is the source of this 327-nucleotide long non-coding RNA. RefSeq lists it as uncharacterized. NCBI's taxonomy places the organism in Eukaryota, Metazoa, Chordata, Actinopteri, Gadiformes, Gadidae. The record is from RefSeq and is a predicted model, not a curated record. The transcript is spliced from 2 exons.
GUUCUGUCCAGCAGCAGCAAAGCUGCGCUAGAAAACGUGGAAAAAGCAGCGCUGGUACAGCAAUAAAAAGCCUGGAGAAACGGCCGGUUUUUUACCUUGCAGUAUACCUAGCAGUUUACCACUUGCAACCCACUUACAACUGUACCCACAAUACCUACCUGCUACAACUUACCUGUACCUGUGAAAAUACAAAAAUAAAAGUAAAGAGGAGUUAAAGAAGGAAAACGGUGUGGUCAUUGCAUGAGUGGAACCCAGUUAAACCUCCUAUGGUCUGUACCAAUCCCUUUCAAGCAGGGAAGCUGCACAAACACUAGAUAGCUUGACAGU